This 497-nucleotide ribosomal RNA is filed under the name uncultured bacterium. RNAcentral's name for it is "partial 16S ribosomal RNA". It matches the Rfam family "Bacterial small subunit ribosomal RNA", at positions 28 to 507 of the family's 1533-position model. The record is from RNAcentral.
GAUGAACGCUGGCGGCGUGCCUAAUACAUGCAAGUCGAGCGAACGGACGAGAAGCUUGCUUCUCUGAUGUUAGCGGCGGACGGGUGAGUAACACGUGGAUAACCUACCUAUAAGACUGGGAUAACUUCGGGAAACCGGAGCUAAUACCGGAUAAUAUUUUGAACCGCAUGGUUCAAAAGUGAAAGACGGUCUUGCUGUCACUUAUAGAUGGAUCCGCGCUGCAUUAGCUAGUUGGUAAGGUAACGGCUUACCAAGGCAACGAUGCAUAGCCGACCUGAGAGGGUGAUCGGCCACCCUGGAACUGAGACACGGUCCAGACUCCUACGGGAGGCGGCAGUAGGGAAUCUUCCGCAAUGGGCGAAAGCCUGACGGAGCAACGCCGCGUGAGUGAUGAAGGUCUUCGGAUCGUAAAACUCUGUUAUUAGGGAAGAACAUAUGUGUAAGUAACUGUGCACAUCUUGACGGUACCUAAUCAGAAAGCCACGGCUAACUACGUG